This is an RNA transcript of Aedes albopictus (Asian tiger mosquito), 26959 nucleotides long. RefSeq lists it as uncharacterized. NCBI's taxonomy places the organism in Eukaryota, Metazoa, Arthropoda, Insecta, Diptera, Culicidae. The record is from RefSeq and is a predicted model, not a curated record. The transcript has 2 exons.
AAAGCAGAUAGGCCCUUUUCAAAUGUUUAUCUAGAAGUUUCUCAGCGGACUCCUCCCGGAGAUCGUUUGAGAUCUUAUCCAAAGUUUCUUCGUGAAUUGCUCUAAGUGGUUUUCGAACAGUGUCUCUCACGAUUUUUGCGAAGUUCUUGUAGAAGGGAUUCCUGAAGGAAUGCCUGGGGGAGUCCCUAGAGAAAUUACUGGAGGAUUUCCUUGAAGAAUCACUGGAGAACUUUCAGGAGGAAUCCCUGAAAGAAUCCCUAGAGAAAUGCCUGGAGGAAUCCCUGGAAGAAUUCCUGAGAAAAUUCCGGAAGGAGUUUCUAAAAAAAACUGAGGUCUGUACUUCCUCCUCAGAAAUCGCUGAAAUUUAUGAGGAAAUCCUUCGAAGAGUACGUAAAGCAACUCUUGGAGGAAUCCCUCUAGCAGUUCCUGGAGGAAUCCCUGUAGGAGCUCGUGAAGAAACCCCAGGAGGAAUCUCGGAAGCAAUUUCAAGAGGACUUCCUAAGAGAAUCUCUAAACAGUUCCUGGUGGAAAUCUUGGAUUAAUUCCUGGAGAAGUUUCUGAAAGAAUUCCAGUAGGAAUUCCUAAAGGAACUCCAAGAAGAGUUUUUGGAGGUUUUUUUAAUAAUCCCUGAAUUUAAUCCUCAAGGAAUCACAGGAGGAAUUCCCGGGUGAAUCCCUGGAGGAACUCUUGGAGGAAUUUCUCAAUGAACCCCAUGAGGAAUCCCGGAUGCAAUUCCAUGAGGAAUUGAUUAGGGAAUCUCAGGAGAGCUUUCUUAUCGAAUUCCUGGAAGAAUUUCUGUAGGAAUCCCUGGAUAAAGAAAACUAAUAAAUACAUGUCUGCAGUAAUUUCUGUACGAAUUAUUGAAGGAAUACUUGAAUGGACUUCUAAAGGAUUUUUUUGCACAGAAUUUUUAACCAUUCCUGGAUGAAUUUUUGAAUAAUCUCUAGUAAAAUUUUCUGAAAUAAUCUCUGGAAGACAUUUCUGCGUAAAUACUUCAGAUACAUAAAUCCAGAUGGAAGCGUGUCUAGCGAAAUUCUGGACAAAACCCUGAAGAAAUCUUUGAAGGAAUACCUGGAGAAAUAACCUCAAGGAGAAAUUCCUGAAGAAACCCUCGAAAAAAGCACUGGAACAAUCACUAUGUUGCACUGCUGAUACCAAUUUAAUAUUUUGGCUUCCGAUGAAUACUUCCAUAAAGUUUUUUUUGUUGUUCUUUCGGGAUUUCUGAGAGUUGUUCUUGGGAUUCCUAGCAGAAUUUCUUCCAGAAUAUCGGCAGGAGUUUUUCACGGGGUUCCUGCUGGGGUACAUCCCAUUUUUUUUUCAGAGGGGUUUUCCCAGUUUCUCACUGGACUCCUCUCGAAGAUCGUUUAAGAUCUUAUCCAAAGUUUCCUCGUAAAUUUCUCCAAGUGGUUUUCCGGGAUAACUUUCGAACAGUGUCUCUCACGAUUUUUGCGAAGUUCCUGCAGAAGUUCUUCUAGAGAGUUUACGAUAUUUUUCUUGAAUAUCCUCGCGGGAUGUCACCGGAAGUUUCUCCCAGGAUUUGUCUUAGAGGUUUAUGGAGUUCCUCCUUAAAUAUCCUGCCGAGGUUUUUUUUUCAGAUAUUCAAAUAGUUAUUCUGUGGAUUUCUUCCAAACUACCUUUCGAGUUUUUCCAAUAGAUAUUUGAGGGGUUUCUCACAAGAUUUCACCUGGAUUCCUUCCGAUAUUCUCCGGGAAUAUUUUACAAAGAAUUUUGUAUGUUAUCACAGGAGAUAUUCCGAUAACUCCUGAAAAUCCGUGAAAAAAACUCAUGGAAAAAAGUCAGGUGAAACUUAAAAAAAAAUCACGCGAGAACCUUUAGGAAAUUUUUCAGUUUAAACUUAUGUAGAAAACCAAAAGCCAAACGCUGAAGAAAGCUCACGGAGUUUCUUGAAAAAAUUGCAGGGGAAACUUCUAAAGAAAUACUGGAAGGAGUACCUGCAGAAAAUUCGUGGAAAACUCAGUAAGAAAUCCUUGCAGGAGCUCUGGUAGAAAUCUAAUAAAUAACUUCCAGGAAGAUCUACUAGAGAAGUCUCAUGAGAAACAGUGGAAGGAAUCCCUAAAAUUCUUUAAAAGGAAUUCCGAGAGAAACUUCUGAAGACAUUCUGUGAAAAUACCUGCGAUAUACUGAGAGACUCUUGUGUGGAUCUUGCAAUCAAUCAUUGAAGAAAUUACACGAAAACUUUGUUAAGCAGGAGGAACAUCGAGAAAAUCCAACGAGGGACUCUGGGAGCAACACCGAAAGAACUUCUAGAAGGCAUUCUGGCAAGGAACCGAAACAUUCAUGAAAACGGUAGGAAUUCAAGACUCUCGGAAGAUUCUCAAGAAAAAAUUGUUCGAAUCUUGAAAAAUGCUUUGAAUUUCCUGGAAAAAUGCGGAAGGAAUCCUGUGACAAACUCUAGGGGGAAUUUCAAGAGGUAUUUCUAAAGUAGUUCUAGUAAGAAACCCUAACUGAAUUUCUGGAAAAAAAAGCAUUGUAACGGUAUUUCUAGCUUGAGUUCAACUACCAAAUCGAUACCAACAAUGUUGUAAAAUCAAUGAACUUUACUUCCUGAGUAGAUCUACAAGUAUUAAAGUUCACUACUUGGUAUUCAAGUUUUAUUAUUUAUCGGUGGUGAAUUUCCCUGAGUAUUCCAGGUUUUUCCCUAAUAAAUAAAAUUCCCUGAGAAAUCCCGGUUUUUUUAGGUGGUAGACGCCCUGUGUUCAAACAUGAUUAUGGGCAGCUGCACUCUGUUGAAGAUAUGGGAAGAAAAAGAACCACCUGCUAUCUGGCUGGAUUGCCUCAUUUGCCCUCUCUACAAGGGACACAGACUGGAGUGCGCCAAUUACCGAGGAAUAAUACUCUUCAACUCGCCGUCCAAAACUCUUGAGGAGUCUUUCGUCGUCAAAUACUAAACUGGUUUUCAUGAGGACCGAUCAACGAAGAAUCAAAUUUUUACUCAAUGACGAAUUCUAGAUAAAUUCUGGCGGUACAGCUUGCAGACCCCUCCGUCUCUUAAUUGAUUUCAAAGCGGCGUACCAUUCAAAAGCCAAGAAAAUCUCCAUUACGAAAAGUUUCUGAACCGACGUGGAGUUGAACCAGUCACUUUCAGCAUGGUCAUACUGAAUACCGAUGCCGUUACAGCAGCUAUACGGGAAUCACGAGCUGUCAUCACCACUGGGCUGACUAGAGUGCGCCAGUCUAUACAUCGACCUAGAGAACAAAUUGAACAAAACGGAUGAGGAACAAAAACAAAACCUAAAUUGAGAGUGGAUGAAGUUGCUAUUAAAAGUUAUUAAAAUCAUUGAAUUUCUAUUGUUUAAACUAAUAAAAUAAGUAAAAUUUAGUGGUCAUUUACAUGCAGUAAUAUAGUAAGCUAUUGCUCUUUAAUUUAAAGGUAAAAUGUUCAAAUAAACCCCAAAAAAUUGAUAUUUUAGUUUAGGUGAACUACACGCGAUCAUCUGUAGUUUCGGGUACUCCAAAAGCGUUUGUAAACUAGUUUAAACGUUAACUUAGUAAGUAUUCUUAACUAUAAAAGCUAAAUGAAUUUGUUAAAGAUGCUAUUUAAAACUACAGGCUAGUGCUAAACCGUUUUGGGCACUGAAUCGAAUACGUCUAGCAAAAUUGUUUCACGAGGCUAGCAGCGAAACUAAAUUUGUAAGUUUGUACAAAUAACUCUGGAAUCACAUAAUUACUAAACAUCUAAUGGAACAAUUAAAAUUUCAGUUUGAGCCGCUCUUUAUAGACUGCUACAAGAAAUAAGUGCUGAUUCUGCAAAAAAUCCGAACAAACUCAAAAAAUUUAUUCGGAUAACCUCAAAACGAUGCCGGCAGGCGAAGAUUUCACCAUGACUGCCUGUGGAGUAUGCGAAACGGUUUCAGAAGUAGACGAAGGAAUGGUGGCAUGUGAUUCUUGUAACCGAUGGUUCCAUUAUCGGUGCGUAGGAGUAACAGAAGGAGUUAAAGAUGCAAAAAACUGGUUCUGUCCGGACAUCAGCUGCCAGAAGUUGGCCAAAAAGCAAGAAGGAAAACCUGCGAAGAACCGGAAGAAGGCUACGUCGGGAAAUGAAUCGGAUAAAUCCAGUGUGACUUCUGAAAGCGUAGUACAAACGAUGGAUCAAAAGUUGAAAGCUCUAGAGAAGGAACGAAGAGCGAAGGAGAGAGAAAUGGAAGAAGAACGAGUCCUGAAGGAAAAGAGGAUGGAAAUGGAUCGUUUCCUUAGGGAAAAGGAAUUAGCGAUUCAAGAUGAGCUACGGGAAAAGGAAAUGCAGCAGGAAAAGGAACUACUGGAGGCCGCUUUACAAAAGAAGCGGAACUUCCUAGCAAGGGUGAAGGCUAUGCGAGAGUCCUAUCAAGUUCAAAUGGAGAAUAUCCAGCAGGAGCUUGCCGAAGGAGGAAAUCAUCUCAACAAACCGAGCGAGUUAUGUCCGAAGCGCAUCCAGUCCACCGAACGUGCCACCGAAUCAGUGCAGGAGCAAAAGGCUUCCGGCUCCACGAAACCCGAAAUUUCCCAAUCCGAAUCGAGUGUAUUCUAUACACAUACACCAGUCCGCAGCUCUGGCAUAAAAGGCAAAAUCAACAAAGCGGCAGCAGCCGUCGCUGCCGGCUCCAACGGCAAACCAGUCUACGGAAAUGAUAAGAACGAUCUUGACGAUUUGGAAGAAGAAGAAGCCCAAAGCAGCGAAAGCGACGAAGAUUACCCAGAUGAGUCGGACGAAGACCCGGAUGAGGAGGAAGAGGAAACGGAUGACGAACAUACCGAAGAUGAGAAAGGAAGAUAUGCCUUUAAAAACCGUCAAGCAAAGAAGGCAGCGACGGCGGUAGUUCCCCACGGGCUGGGGCCGACUAAAGCACAAUUAUCUGCACGCAAUGGAAUCACUAGGAAGCUACCCGUAUUCACGGGAAACCCCGAGGAAUGGCCCUUGUUCAUUGGGAGCUAUAAUGCUUCCAAUACAGCGUGUGGUUUCAGCGAUGUAGAGAACUUAGUUCGUCUACAGGAAUGCUUGAGAGGACCAGCAUUAGAAAGUGUCAGAAGUCAGCUGCUACUACCACAAUCGGUUCCCAGAGUCAUCAACAAGCUUCGUCAACUAUAUGGGCGACCUGAACAACUUCUUCAUCACCAUCUCGACAAGAUCAGGAAGCUCGAAUGUCCCAAAGCGGAUAAACUGUCCAGCUACAUACCAUUCGGUAAUUCCAUAGAACAGCUUUGCGACCAUUUAGAAGCCGCUGAGUUGACGCAACAUCUGGUCAAUCCUCUUCUGAUUCAGGAUUUGGUGGAUAAACUUCCAGCGCAAGACAAGCGGGACUGGGUCCGCUACAAGCAGAAGAAGAAGCGAGUGACUUUGCGAACAUUCACUGACUUCGUAUCCAGAAUAGUAGCAGAGGCGUGCGAGGCGAAUGUCAACAUGGACUUCAAAACCCCGCAGGCAUCAUCUGGACCCCCCUAUCGCGUGAAACGUGAAAAGGGUGCUGUGUUCAACCACUGUUCCUCCGCCGAGACGUCCACAAAGUCUAAAGAUCCUUCGAAGCUGAAGCCCUGCAAAGUUUGCCAUCGCACAGACCAUCGUCUUCGUUAUUGCGAGGAUUUCAAGUGCUUGCCUGCAGCAGAACGCAUAAAGUUGGUCGAGCAGUGGAAGCUUUGCAAAAUUUGUUUGAACGACCAUGGUAAAGCUCAAUGCAAGUUUCAGAUUCGUUGCAGAGUAGACGGAUGUCUUGCUCGUCACAACACACUGCUACAUCCAAUUGGGGGACCGUUAGCGAUCAACACGCACAUGUUAGAUGGUGAGGCAGUUUUGUUCCGAAUGAUCCCGGUCAGUUUGCACUGUGGAGAGCACAUUGUGGAAACCCUGGCGUUUUUAGACGAGGGAGCCUCUGUCACUCUCGUCGAGAAAACACUGGUUGACAGACUCGGCGUUCAAGGGACGAGAAACCCGUUGACCAUUACUUGGACGGCCGACAUUCAACGUACUGAGAAGGAUUCCCGGCAAAUGAAUUUAUGGAUUUCCACACGAGGUAUGGAGGGGAAGAUUCUACUGCGAACGGUGCAAACAGUUCCAGAGUUGAUGUUACCACAGCAAACGUUGAACGCACCUGCGCUGAUGGAAAACUACAAAUUUCUUCAGAAUUUGCCAGUUGACUCGUACUACAAUAAACGUCCAGGAAUUCUCAUUGGAAUUAACAAUGUGCAUGCGAUUGCACCUCUAGAAUCCAGACUUGGAACAAUUGGAGAACCGAUUGCUGUACGCUCUAAGUUGGGAUGGACGAUUUACGGUCCAAGUCAGAGAACCACAGGUGCACAAAGAGAUUUUGUUGGUUGCCAUCAUGACAUUAGCAAUCAAGAGCUACACAACGUCCUCAAAUCGCAUUAUGCCCUAGAAGAAUCCGUUGUAGCGGUGUUUCAGGAAUCAAAGGAGAACCAGAGAGCCCGGAAGAUUCUCGAAGAGACGACAGUGCGAAUCGGCGACAGAUUCGAAACCGGGCUGCUGUGGAAUACUGACAGUCCUAAGUUUCCCAAUAGCCUACCAAUGGCGUUGCGACGGCUGAAACAACUAGAGCACCGUUUGGAGAAUAUGCCGCAGCUUUACGAAAGCGUACGGAAGCAAAUAGUGGAAUAUGAGCAAAAGGGCUACGCGCAUCGUGCCACGCCGGAAGAAAUAGCUGAAGCAGAAUCAUCUGGAGCCUGGUACCUGCCCAUCAACGUAGUCCUCAACCCAAAGAAACCUGGAAAAGUUCGUUUGGUGUGGGACGCAGCGGCGUCGGUUCAAGGAGUGUCGUUGAAUUCCCAGUUAUUGACAGGUCCGGAUAUGUUAGCUGCCUUACCGUCGGUGAUUAAUCGUUUUCGCGAACGUCCAGUGGCUUUCGGAGGAGACAUCCGUGAAAUGUACCACCAGUUGGUGAUUCGUAAAGCUGAUAGGAGGGCACAGAUGUUCCUCUUCAGAAAUUCAACCCAUGAGAAACCAACGGUAUACAUGAUGGACGUUGCCAUUUUCGGUUCCAAGUGUUCACCCUGUCAGGCGCAAUACAUAAAAAACCGAAACGCAAAGGAGUUCGCGAUACAAUAUCCGGAGGCUGCAGCAGCGAUUAUUGACAAGCAUUAUGUGGACGAUUACUUCGACAGCACCGAUACCGUCGAAGAAGCAACACGGAUAGCAAAAGAAGUUGAACUGGUACACUCGAAGGGCGGCUUUGAAAUCAGAAAUUGGGUUUCUAACUCAAGGGAAGUCCUCCGCAGUUUGGGUGAGAAAAGUGCAGACCAAGCAGUUCACUUCAACCGAGAUAAAGAAACUGGUACGGAACGAGUUCUUGGAAUAAUAUGGAACCCCAAGGAGGACAAGUUUUCGUUUUCAACAGAACAUCGUGAGGAUUUGAAACGAUACUUGAGUGGCAAAGAAAUACCCACUAAAAGGAUUGUGUUGAGCAGUGUUAUGGGAUUGUUUGAUCCACUAGGCCUACUGUCAACGUUCAUUAUACAUGGUCGUGUUUUGAUCCAGAACUUAUGGCGAACAGGAUGUGAUUGGGACGAACAGAUUGAUCAAGCCAGCGAGUUGGAAUGGAGAAGGUGGAUCGGACGUUUACCCGAUGUAGAAGCAGUCAGGAUUCCUCGUGCGUACUUUGGAAGGUGGAAAUCUACUGAAAUUGAGACACUGCAACUGCACGUGUUUACUGAUGCUAGUCUGCAAGCGUAUGGAAGUGCAGCGUACUUUCGUGCUACAGUUGGAGGCGAAGUUCGUUGUGCCCUCGUAAUGGCAAGGGCGAAAGUAGCUCCAUUGAAGCGACAAUCAGUUCCCCGCUUGGAGCUGAUGGGGGCGCUACUCGGAGCGAGACUACUACAAUCGGUUAUGACGAAUCACACCCUUCCCAUUCAAAAAUGUUACCUAUGGACGGACUCACAAACGGUUCUUAGCUGGCUUCGCUCGGAUCAGCACAGCUAUAAGCAGUUCGUGGCAUUUCGUGUAGGGGAAAUUCAUGAGCUGACAAACUUGACUGACUGGCGGAAAAUACCUUCGAAAUUCAACAUUGCGGACGUUCUAACCAAGUGGGGUAGUGGACCAGAUCUCAAGGACGAUGGAUCGUGGUUCAACGGGCCAAAUUUUCUUCAACAAACAGAAGAAUACUGGCCAGCCGAGAUGCUGCCUGAAGCAAAUAUCGCGGACGAGAGGAAAGCGGUAGUGCUGGUUCAUGGAACGUGUUCUGUCGAACCAGUAAUACGAGUAGAAUCGUUCUCCAGGUGGAUUAAACUGCUCCGAGUUACAGCAACAGUCGUUCGAUUCAUAAACAACUGUCGGAGAAAGAUCGCUAAACAGCCCAUACUAUGUGCGGAGGCAUCAGAAAAGCAGCGUCGACUCAUAACAGCAAAGUUUGAUGUACUGAAGCGUCCGUUGCUGCAAGAAGAAUUGAGAAGCGCCGAAUGUAUCUUGUGGAAGCUAGCACAACGAGAAGGUUAUGCCGAGGAAGUUCGAACACUGAGUAGGAGCGAAGAAAGUGGACCAGGAAAAUCAGUUGUGCGUUUGCAGCGAUCGAGCACGCUAUAUAAACUCACACCAUUUUUGGACGAAGAAGGAGUGAUGCGCAUGGGUGGUAGAAUGCAGAAUUCGACAACAGCCACGUUCAACGAAAAGUAUCCGAUAAUAUUGCCGAAAGACCACGAGAUAACGGAUAUGUUGCUGCAGGACUAUCAUGAAAAGUUUGGGCAUGCUAACAGAGAAACAAUAUUCCACGAAGUUCGCCUGAGGUUCAAGAUCCCGAAGUUGAGAUCAAGAAUCUCACGAGUUGUGAAAAAUUGUGUUUGGUGUAAGGUACACCGGUGUAAACCGGCUGUGCCAUUGAUGGCUCCUCUACCUAAACAAAGGAUAACACCAGGUUUGAGGCCGUUUAGCGCAGUUGGUCUCGAUUAUCUGGGCCCCAUCGACGUAUCAGUUGGUAGACGAUCAGAGAAAAGAUGGAUCUGUUUGUUUACUUGUCUGGCUAUACGUGCAAUCCAUCUGGAAGUAGUCGAUAGUCUGACAACACAGUCUUGUCUUAUGGCAAUUCGCAGGUUUAUCUGCAAACGUGGUGCUCCAGACGAAUUCUUUUCCGACAACGGAACGAAUUUCAGAGGGGCUUAUAAUGAAUUGAAGAGAACGGUUGAGCGAAUUAACAACGAAUGUGCUGAAGGAACCACGACUGCUAGAAUCAAAUGGAAUUUUAAUCCACCGGCUACGCCUCAUAUGGGCGGUAUUUGGGAGAGGCUAGUGCGUUCGGUUAAGGAAGCAUUUCGAGCACUGGAUGAUGGAAGAAAACUUACCGAUGAGAUUUUGAAAACAGUGGUAGCGGAAGCGGAAGAGAUGAUCAAUUCGCGACCGUUGACAUACAUGCCGGAUUCGUCGGAAGACAGUGCGCUUACACCCAACCACUUCUUACGAGGAACGGUUAAAGAAUCAGACACGAUGUUCCAGGACCAAACAGAUAUGGCAGGAGCAUUAAGGGAUACGUAUCAGCGUUCACAGUUUUUGGCAGAGGAAAUUUGGAAGCGUUGGUGUAAGGAAUAUCUUCCCACAAUAAAUCAGCGAACCAAAUGGUACACCGAACAGAAACCAAUAAGGAUAGGUGACUUGGUUUUCAUCGUAGAUGGAAAUAAUCGGAAGACGUGGAUUCGAGGAAUCGUGGAGGACGUUCAUGCUGGGACAGAUGGAAGAAUUCGGCGAGCAGAUGUCAGAACAGCGAAAGGUGUCUUCAGGCGUGCGGUUGCUAACUUGGCGCGUAUGGAAAUUAGCGACGGUAAAUCCGGAAAUUCCGAACCGGAAGCACCGGAGUUACGGGCUGGGGAUGUGUCAUCACCACUGGGCUGACUAGAGUGCGCCAGUCUAUACAUCGACCUAGAGAACAAAUUGAACAAAACGGAUGAGGAACAAAAACAAAACCUAAAUUGAGAGUGGAUGAAGUUGCUAUUAAAAGUUAUUAAAAUCAUUGAAUUUCUAUUGUUUAAACUAAUAAAAUAAGUAAAAUUUAGUGGUCAUUUACAUGCAGUAAUAUAGUAAGCUAUUGCUCUUUAAUUUAAAGGUAAAAUGUUCAAAUAAACCCCAAAAAAUUGAUAUUUUAGUUUAGGUGAACUACACGCGAUCAUCUGUAGUUUCGGGUACUCCAAAAGCGUUUGUAAACUAGUUUAAACGUUAACUUAGCUAGUGCUAAACCGUUUUGGGCACUGAAUCGAAUACGUCUAGCAAAAUUGUUUCACGAGGCUAGCAGCGAAACUAAAUUUGUAAGUUUGUACAAAUAACUCUGGAAUCACAUAAUUACUAAACAUCUAAUGGAACAAUUAAAAUUUCAGUUUGAGCCGCUCUUUAUAGACUGCUACAAGAAAUAAGUGCUGAUUCUGUAAAAAAUCCGAACACGAGCUAUACCAAGCGUAUAAAGAAAAGGAUUCAUCCUGCUAAUAAAACACGGCAGACUAAGUCGGGCUGGUCACGUCUUAAGGAUACCGGAAGAACGGCAAACGAAAAUAAUAUUCACUUUUUGGCUUUCUCGUACACCAAAGUGUACUAAAAGGCUAUAUGUUCACUCAAAAAACGAAUUUUCGAUAGAAGGCGCGGAGGGUCAAGUCACAUAUACAAAUCAACACAGUUCGACAAAUUGAGAUGUUGUCUGUAUGUGUGGAUGUGAGUAUGUCUGUGCGCAAAAUAAGUUCACUUACUUUUCAGGCACUUCCUAUUGGCUAAUUUUUUGGAUUAUAGCUCGAAUCGAACAACAAUUCUACCGCGUUGUUUGCUAUUGAAAAUGGUCCGAAUCGGUCAAUUCGUUCCGGAGUUAUGGCCAUUUCAGUGAUCGAGACCAGCACCGGCACACAUCAAACUGCGGCGAUUUUUGUAGCCUUUGGUAUGGCUGACAAAUUUUAUACGAAACUCAACUUCGGAAAUUCAAGAUGGCAGCCUAGUAUUAAAUAUGGCGUCUGUUUAAUAAAGUUUGAGCUCUAAAACCACGCAAUAUGGGGUAUAUUUGGUAUGGGGAAGAUGUCCUAAGUCUAAAAAUGGCGACCAGAAUAUCCAAGAUGGCGGUUUAAAAUCCAAAUGGCUACUCUAAUUUCAAGAUGGCGGCUGUCUAACGAUCAGGCUUGGCAUUGGUUACCGUUCAUACUCACUUUCAAACCGACCUGAGCAUGUAUUCGUUUUCACUGCCACACAAUCGCAAUAGGUCACUGCAUGAAAAUCUCUCCUUCUCUUUCACUCUCACAGAAAUCUUGUAAACAACAAGGCCACGAAACGUCAAAGUCCCAUACAAAAUCAAAACAGUGCAGUGCCCUAUAGGCUCAUCAAAUCGCCGUACUACGUAGUCAAGAUGAAAAAACAAAUUGUUUAUCGGUUGCGUCGUUACCUCGGGGACUUCAACAGUCACGAUUAUGUUUUGAAUGACGUUUGGAGUUCUCGGCCUAUUGAAUCGAUGGUAAUGACGGUCGCGACACUGCGGCAGCAGUCAGUGUGUGGUGUGUCAUAGGUCUUUAUGACGAUUUUUUCGUGACAUAACGUCCAAACAAGCAGAAGCGUCACAAAGUCCUAGGAAAAAGGAAAAGAGGAUUCUAUGACGUAUCCAAACUUUUGAACGUUGUUUCAAAUAAAAAAAGGAUCAGACCGGGAGAUUGUGGCUCCAGAUGAUCCGGCCCUAAGACAUACAUUAGUUACGCUUCGACAGAAGGAGAGGGAGUUUAUUAACGAGUGUAUAACAUGCAAUAUACUGGCUAUGCAAUGAUUUACAGUUCAACAUUAGAAACCCUACGAAACGAAAAGGUGUUUGUGUUUCAACACGAGUCGUGCCCGGAAAGUCUCAUAAGAUAUACAACUUGUAUUGAAUAUAUCAACUAGCUUUCGCAAGUUGUUUAAUAAUUAACUAUUUCCUAGAAUAUUUCAGGCAAUAUGAUCAAUUCUGAUUGAAUAUGUCGUUUUUCCCCACGUUUUUAUUGAUCUCGCAAUUUCUAACCAGCAACGUGCGUUUAUCUUAAGUUGGAUAAAUCAUUGAAACUUAUUAUUCAGAAACAUAUGAAGUUGAAAUAAGCGAAUCGCACUGUGUGUCGAGUGCCCGGCCUUUGUGAAAACGCGCUGGUUAUACACAACACAAACGAUGUUAUAUCCUCAAACACUGUUGGCGAAGUUUCUCUAUAAGCUCCACCACUAAAUCAAUAGCAUAAGUUAGCAUUAACGAUUCUCCUUUCUUUGGCGUUUCCGAACCUGUAAUUCCAUCUUAGUAGUAUUCACUGCAAGUAUCAAUCUGCAAUAUUUGAAAAAAUAUAUAAAAUAAUGCUAAUUACAUAUAAAUUAAACCAACUUUACAAAACGGCAUUAACCUAGAACUUAAAGACGGGCACCAUCAUUCAUUGACGGUCAAAUGAGCGAUGGUCUAGACCAGUGAAUCAAAAUUCAACCAUCGCGCAACAAUAAUGACAAUGUCGCAACCUGUAUUUGUUGCGACAAAACAACCCAUGCGACAUAAGUUUGUCCCAACUUGAAAAUAAUGGGAUUAACAUCGUACACCACGAGUUUAGAGAUUUUUAAGCCUUGCAUUGCGAUUUUCGAACGGUAACUUCAAGUCGGUAAACACUGGAACUCUGGCGAAGCUCUACCAUCAAACAGUUUCGACUUUGGGUUAGUAAUAAUUGAUUAUUCACGAGUUGAAAAGUACGCAACAAAUUCAGCUUCCGUUUUGUCUGCAACAAAAAAAUUCGAGAUCAUGUCAUUAUCUGUCACCAGUAGGGAUAAAGACUAAUCGUCGCACCUUCUUUGUUGCUGGUUUUGUGCCUCUUUUGUCAGACAAUUCUCUUCACUGGUCUAGACGGGUGAUGGUUAAAUAACGAAAAAAGUCGUUAUGGUUACCUAUGGUAUCUAGGUCGUGUCGAUGUGCUUUAGGUAGGUGAUGCAUGGUUGCUACCAUUGUUGGCCACUUCUGGAACAUCCAGGUACCCCGAGGGAAACGACAACAAAAGCUAAUUACGAUCAUACAACAAAACAUGUAAUGUGACCAUCAUGAUUUUUAAUUCCUAUGUAUGUGUUCGUAUCAAAAGUGGCCACACUCUUGGUUGUCCAUUUCUGAAACUUUCUGGGGCGCCCUGAGGGAACCGAUGGCCAGAAUCAAUUUGGUUCAUUCAGUGACGGUUUCAUCAUGUUUUUCGAGAAUAUGCUUGUGGUUACUGCUAAAACUUAGAGAAAGCCCUCAAGAGACUGAUGGCAUUGAACAAACGCGUUCAUAUGACAAAAUGUGGUGUGUAACGCAUCUUGGCUAGGACCAGAGAAAUAUCUGACAGGAUAAAAUAAUGCCUGAUGGAACAUCCGGAGGAUUCCCUUUCAAAAUGUUUGAAGGCAUCCUCAACGGAAUUUCUUGAGAAACGUCCAUCUGGGAAUUCCUCCGGGUUCUCCUCCUCCAAUUCCUCUAGGAGUUUCUCUAAGAGUUCAUCCUAAAAUUUCUCCUUAAGUAAGUCUGAGAGUUCCUCCCAAAACUUCUCCGGGAAUUUCUCCUGUAAUUCCGAACAAAGUCCUUCCUGGAACUCUUCUGGGAGUUUCUUCUUGAGUUCCUCUGGAAUUCAUCCCGGCAGUCCCUUUUAAAUUUCACCAGGAGUUUCACGUAGAAUUUCACUGUGAGUUUGUCAUAAAUUUCCCCCGAGAGUUUAUGCUGAAAUUCUUCCACAGGCAGUUUCUCAUGAAAUUCCUCCAGGAAUUUCCCCAGGAAUUCCUACGGAAGAUGCUUGUAGAAUUUCUUUAGUUCAUUCUAGAAUUUCUCUGGAUGUUCCUUCUGAAAUUUCUCCGAGAGUUCAUCCUGGAAUUCUUCCGGGAGUUCACUCUGAAGUUCACGCGGAAACUCCAACGGUAGUUCGACCUAGAAUUUAUCUGUGAGUUCGUCAUAGUAUUCCUCCAGAGUACCAUCCGGGAGUUUCCUCUUAGAAUUCCUCUUGAAAUUCUUCAUGGAACUUCCUGGAUCCCAAAAAUGCUUCAGGAGUUCAUCACAGAAUUGCUCGUCCGGGAGUUCCUUCAGGAAAUCUUCCGGAAGUUCCUCUGGAAGAUCGCCUGCAAUUUCUCCUGAAGUUGCUUCUGGAAUUCUUUCUGGAAUUUCUUCUGGAGUCCUUCUAGGAGUUUCUCUGGAGUUAAUCUGAGAAUUCCUCCCAAAAUUCCUCCUUUCUUACCGAAAUUUCUCUGAAGGGUCACCCUGGAACACCUUCUGAAAUUCCCGCAGGAGUUGCUCGUGAAAUUUCUCAUUAAAUUUCACAGGGGAAUCUACUUUUAUUUCUUACGGGAGUUUGCCUUAGAAUAUCUCUAGGAGUUUCUCCUAAAAUUCUGGGACUUCCUAUUAAAAUUCCUUUUGGAGUUCCUCCUCCUCUGAGAGUUCACGCUGGAGCCCCUACGAGAGUUCAUCCUGAAAUCCUCCGGGAGUAAGUCAUAGUAUUACUUCGGAUUCUCCACUUGAAUACUCUCCGCGAGUAUCCUCCUGGUACCUCUAUGAGAGUUCCUCGAAGAUCCUGGAAUUCCUCCAUGAGUUCGUCAUAUUAUAUCUUCGGAUGUUCCUCUUGAAUACCCUCCUGGAAUUCCUUCGAGAGUUCCUCAUGAAAUGUUACCAGGAGUCCCUUCUGAAAUUUCUCUAGGAAUUCCUUCUGGCAGAUCCUCCGGGAAAUCAUCAGAGAGUUCCUCUUAGAAUUCCUACGGGAAUCCUUUCGGUAGUUCCUCCUGAAACUACUUCGUGAGUUCAUCCUAGGAUUUCACAGGGAGUUUCUCAUGAUAUUCAUGCGAGAGUUCAUGCUGGAAUUUCUUCGGGAGUUCUUUCUUGAGUUUCUUAGGUUAUCCUUUUGAAAUUCCUCCAGGAUUUCCUCGAGGAUUUCCUGCGGGAGCUGCUCGUGGAAUUUCUCCUAGAAGUUCAACGGAAGUUUCUCCUGAAAUUCCCACGGGAGUUUGACCUGGAAUUUCCGUAGAAGUUCCCCUGGGAAUUCCUCCCAAAAUUCCUAUGACGAUUUCUCCUAGAAUUCCUUCGGUAGUCCUUCCUGUAAUACCUUCGAGAGUUUGUAAGAAUAUUUCUUCAAAUGUUCCUCUGAUUUUUCGGAUCCUGGGGGGCCUCUCUAGCAACACCAAAGUUAAGGAACUUCUGGGAGAUUCCCUGGUCUUGUUCCUGGAGAAACCCCUAUCAAAAGUCGUUAAAAAUAAUUUGUGGCGCUAGUGAUUUCUGACAGAUGCUGUGCCAGUUAUUUUUCCAGAAGCUCCACCACAGGGUUGUUAACGUUAAUCAACGAUUAACGCCGUUAACGUUAAUUUUCGUCCGAAUCAACGUCAACGGCGUUGCGUUAAUUUUCUAACCAGUUAACGUUAACGUCAACGGAAUGCGUUAAAUUAACGUCAACGAAUGCCGUUAAUUUUUGCGUUAAUUGAUGUGGUAUGCUUUGUGAUCUGUGUGACAUUUGUGGUUUUUUUUUCAAUUUUUGGGUAGAUUAUUAUUUGUGUUUGACAAGAUUUUUUUCUCAUUACUCACUAGCAAGAAAUUUUUUUUUAGGAACUUGUGCGCCGGCAUUUGACCAACAGUCUCAUAAUUGAAUCUAUAUUGUCCACGUCAAGAACCUGCAAAAUGCUUUGCCGACUUACUCAGGAAGCGUGAGUUUAUGCUUCGGAAGGAAUGGUGUUGGUGCAUUAUGCACCUUCAGCUGUGAAACUGAGCGCGCUUGUUAUGCAAUACACCCAGCGCGCUCGUCUUUGGGACUGGAAGUGCCCAAAGCGCUCUAAUUUCGUCCAUGACUAUCCCCCGGUGUUUUUUAGGCUAUCCACAAGUUGUUAGUGGACAAUUAUAAAACGUGACUCAUCUUAAGUAGCUAUUGAGUUGAUCACAGUAGCCAUCCAUGCAAAUGUCAAAAAUUUUCCCAGCAAAAUAUAAUAGUCCAUUUUACGAGCCGAUUUUAUGAAUGAAUUUUGACAGGAGGUAGCGUCCAAUAAUCCGUGAAAAUCAAUAUCAUCAUCAACAUUGUUGUCACUUCGUAAAAUGGAUCAUUGUCAGUGUUUCAUCUGCUUGUUUAACCCGACGUCUCUACUAGACAGAAAUGUCUUGCCAUUUGGCUGGACAGAUGUCUCAUGACAGAAAUGUUCUCUCGCUGUUUGCAUGGAAAGCAGCGGUGUUGAUCAUUUCUGUUACGUUCAUUCUUUCUGGCAGCAAUGUCGCAAGACAUUUCUGUCUAGUGGAGACGUGGGGUAAGAUAUCACAUAAAUCACAGACCAAUAGAUGUGAUACUAACGAAAUUUCAAUCUCAUAUAUCUCAGGAUCCUGAUUACUUAGAGAGUUGGUGUCUUCGGCAAAGUUGUAUGGCUGGUCAAGGACUAACCGAUAAUAAGCCUUAUGUUUCCAAAUUACACCGCUAGGCGGUGCUAGUGAGCUAACAAAUUUUGUUUUUCAUAUAUAUCAGGAAAAUUUGCAAAAAAUUGCAACUAGCGCCGCCUAGCUGCAGAAACUUGAACCAAACGAUAAUUAUUCUGAAAGCCCUUGAUCUACCAAACAUUUUUGCCGAAGACACCAUCUUUCUAAAAAAUCAGAAUGCUAAGAUAUGUGAAAUGUAAAAUUUGUACGCUCUCUAGCGCCGCCUAGCAGUGAAAUCACGAAUCAUACGGCCCAUAUUCGGAAAGCCCUUGACCAGCUAAACAACUUUGCCGAAGAAACCAACUCUCUAAGUAAUCAGGAUCCUGAGAUACAUGGGAUGGAAAUUUUGUCAGUGUUGCAUCUGCUUGUCUAAGAUAUCACAUAAAUCACAGACAUAUAGAGGUGACACUAACGAAAUUUCAAUCUCAUCUAUCUCAUGAUCCUGAUUACUUGGAGAGUUUGUGUCUUCGGCAAAGUUGUUUGGCUGGUCAAGGACUAACCGAUAAUAAGACUUAAGAUUCAAAAUUCCACCGCUAGGCGGCACUAGAGAGCAUCCAAAUUUUAAAUUUCGCAUAUCUCAGCAUCCUGAUUUUGUAGAAAGAUGGUGUCUUCGGCAAUAUUGUUUGGUAGAUCAAGGGCUUUCAGAAUAACUACCGUUUGGUUCAAGUUUCUGCAGCUAGGCGGAGCUAGUUGCAAUUUUUUGCAAAUUUUCCUGAUAUAUAUGAAAAACUAAAUUUGUUAGCUCACUAGCACCGCCUAGCGGUGGAAUUUUGAAACAUAAGUCUUAUUAUCGGUUAGUCCUUGACCAGCCAAACAACUUUGCCGAAGACACCAACUCUCUAAGUAAUCAGGAUCAUGAGAUAUAUGAGAUUGAAAUUUCGUUAGUGCUACAUCUAUUGGUCAGUGAUUUAUGUGAUAUCUUAGACAAGCAGACGAAACACUGACAAAAUUUCCAUCCCAUAUAUCUCAGGAUCCUGAUUACUUAGAUAAUUGAAUUGAGAACAAUCUGAAUUAUUUGAUUUUGCACACCUUUCCGACAAAUUUACCAAAAUAUUUGGUUGGACACAAGUAGAUUUACUUAAAUGUACAGUCUAGUAUCAAUUAAAUAUGUACUACAAUUAACGUAAAAUUAACGGAGUCGUUAACGUUAAAUCAACGCUCCGCGUUAACGUUAACGUUGACCAACGCUUCCAAAAAAUCAACGGAAAAAUCGUUGAUCGUUACAAUUAACGUUAACGAAUUAACGUAACGGCGUUAAUCGUUGAUUAACGUUAACAACCCUGCUCCACCAUGUAUCAUUCCAUGAGUUUCGUAAAGGAUUGUGCGUAGUGUUUCACCAGGGAUUUUUCUGAAGAUUCACUAGUAAUUUAUCUUGAAUUCCACCACUAACUGCUCCAGAAGUUCAGCUAGAAGUUCUUCCAGAAAUUUCUCCAACAGUUCCGGAGGGUAUUCUUCGUGGUGUUUAUCAGGGAUUUUUCCUGCAAAUCCAUCAGGGGUUGCUUUUAGAGUACUGCUUCAUUCCCCAAGCAUAAUUUUUCUAGACUAAAUCGGUGAUUCUAGAACCCAGUAGGGCCAAAGUUGUGUUCAAAAUUGCGUUAUAUUGGUUUCCGAGAUGUUUGAAAAAAAAAUGUCAUAUUUUGAUAUCUAACCCAAAAAAUACCAAAAUACGACAUUUUUUUUCAAAUAUCUCAGAAACCAAUAGAGAUAUCGCAAUUUUGAGCACAAAUUUGGCCCAAUUGGGUUCUAAAUUCACCGAUUUAGUCUAGAAAAAUUAUGUUUGAAAAUUUAGUUUGAAAUGUUUUUUAAAGAUUUUCUCUAAAAAAAUCACCUUAAUCCUUUGCGCCACCUCUAAAGAUCAACCAAAAUCACUCAUUUUUGUACAGCUUACUUAUUUCGACUAGUAGAUCGAUUUCCAUUUGGGAAAUCAUAUCCCAGAGAGAUUUUUAAAAAUGAGCCCCACCCUAAUGUUCCGGAACCACAAUUGGACCAAAAUAUGCAACUGAUAUUAUCCGGAGUGCUGUUGACUUCUGAUUUGCGGCUUCCGAAUAAAUAUCGGGUGCAAAGGUAUUCUUGGAUGACAAUGACUUUGCUUUCCGUAAGGAACUCGGGUUGAUUCCGGCCCUCUAGCUGGCCAGGGUGAGGCCGCCGGCCAAUGAGACCCCCAUCAAUCGAUUCAGCACACUUUUUCCAAGCGAAAAUGGUCUCAGCCGUUGGCAGAUCCCGUUACCCAGCUGAGAAAAUGAAUUUGGUUGUGUUUCGGGUUCAAUUUUUCCCACUGUGCAGCGGGGGUAAAAAAAAGAGUACUGCAGGUGAUUACUGCUGCAAUUCCUCUCAAAAUGUCUUUAGAAAUUCCGCCAUACAGGAACUCCGCUAAGAAAUUCAUACAGAAACUCCGCUAAGGACUCCUCUAAAAGUUACGCAAAUUACUGCUCUUGAAUUCCAUCUGGUUUUUUUUUAAGAGAUUCAUCUAGGAGUUCCGCAAGGGCAAUGCACUGCAUCUAGAUUAUCUCUGCCAGACAUUUAUUCAACAAUUCCAACAGAGAUUUCCUCAAUAUAUAAGUCAGAGAUUCCUCAAAUAUUUUGCCAGACGUUUCUCGAGAAAUUCCGUUGAGGAUGCCUUCAAACAUUUUGAAAGGGAUUCCUCCAGGAAUUACGCCAGGGAAUCCUCCGGAAGUUCCAUCAGGCAUUAUUUUAUCCUGUCAGAUAUUUCUCUGGCCCUAGCCAAGAUGCGUUACACACCACAUUUUGUCAUAUGAACGCGUUUGUUCAAUGCCAUCAGUCUCUUGAGGGCAUUCUCUAAGUUUUAGCAGUAACCACAAGCAUAUUCUCGAAAAACAUGAUGAAACCGUCACUGAAUGAACCAAAUUGAUUCUGGCCAUCGGUUCCCUCAGGGCGCCCCAGAAAGUUUCAGAAAUGGACAACCAAGAGUGUGGCCACUUUUGAUACGAACACAUACAUAGGAAUUAAAAAUCAUGAUGGUCACAUUACAUGUUUUGUUGUAUGAUCGUAAUUAGCUUUUGUUGUCGUUUCCCUCGGGGUACCUGGAUGUUCCAGAAGUGGCCAACAAUGGGGGCCAUGUCUAGCAUCGAUACAACCUCAACCAUAUUUAUUAAAAAUCAUGAAGGGAGAUCCGUCGCAUGACACAUUUUUCUGUUAGAAUAUAAUUAUCCUCUAAUGUCGGUUCUUCAGGGCAUCCCGGAAGUUUCGGAAGUGGCACAUUGGAACCAUGCAGUAACAAGUGCAGUAACAAGUGAAUUGACGAAAAAUCAUAAAAAAAGAGCAGUGGUGUUUUUUUUCAUGUUUUGCUAAAUAAACGUAAUUGACCCCUAUCACCGGUUCUCCAGGUUGUUUCAGGUCAUCCCGGAUGUUCCCGGAGUGGCCAGUGGUGACCAUGUGGUCAAUGAUUCAUCUUGACAUCAGCUAAUCAUGCCUUACAAAUGGCUAAAUUCAUAACUGUAGUCAAGUCAGGUUUCAUAAUCUUGCAAGUAGGAGCCCGAACGCGCGCAUGCCGCCACCCACGAACCACGCGUUGAUAAUUUCAAUCAAAGCCACCCAACCCACCUGGGUGCACCUCAGUAAAACCAGCAAAAUUUUUCUAAGUCCAAAUCGUAAACAACAAGGCCACGAAACGUCAAGGACUUAAAAGAAUUUUCCCUAGCAACCGCGGCGUGCAGUGCCCUAUUGGCGACGCAUUACAUGGGCAGAACCGUAGCAUGCUUGUGAACUUCAUGACUAAUGCCAAGCCUAACGAUGUUUAGGCCCUAAAACCAUGCAAUAUGGGUAUUUUUGGUAUGAAGAAGAUGUCUGGAGUCCAACAAUGAUGACCAAAAUAUCCAAGAUGGCGGUCUAAAAUCCAAUAUGGCUACUCGAAAUUCAAGAUGGCAGCUGUUUAAUGAAAGUUUAGGCUCUAAAACAUUGCAAUAUGGUAUGGCGAAAAUGUCCAAAAAUGGAAUAUCCAGAAUAUUCAAGAUGGCGGCUGUUUAAUGGAGGUUAAGGCUCUAAAAUCAUGAAAUAUGAGUAUAUUUGAUAGUAGAAAAUGUCCGGUGUUCAAAAACAGCGACCGGAAUAUCGAAAAUGGCGGCUGUUUAAUGGAGUUAAAGGCUGUAUAAUCUUUCAAUAUAGGUAUAUCUGGUAUGUGGAAGAAGUCUGUCCAAGAUGGCGGACUUAAAUCCAAAAUGGUAGCUGAAAAUUCAAGAUUGCGGCUUUUCGAAAAUGGGGUUUCGAAGGCACCAUCACCACUAGGUGGAAUAAUUAGGGUUUUUAUUGUUGUUGUAUACGGUUUCUCAUAACUUCAUGAUCAACAAAAAAGUAAGGACCCACAGAAACCGAUUGAGAAUGUCUGUUUUAAGUGGCUUCAAUGCUAACAAAUUAAUAACAUCUACCGCCGAUCGGAUAGGCGAAGGCACAGGGACGACGGUAUCAUAGUCUUAUACAGCUAUCACGCAAAGCAACUAAAGACAACAGGGAACCGAAAUUAACACACGGCGAUGGUGUGGUGACGACGAUGACUACACAGCACAGGUAACACCAGAGAAGGAGCCCGUCCCGUCAGGGCGCGAGCGUCACACAUUUAUCUUCGUUAUACAGAUACGACAAACGCUGAUGUUUGAUAAGAAACAGAUGGACGUUGCGAUUGAUAACGGAGCCUUGAAACAAUGGGCCUUCCUGGAGUAAUUUCGAAGGCAAUUUGCAAAUUGGAUCGUUUCGAAUUCGAGUUCAAUUGGGUUCAUCAUUGUAUACUUUAUCGAGGCGCGCAGAUAACCAUGGAGCUCCUGUCCAUGUAUUUAUGAUGAUGGUUCAAAAUAUCUGAACGUCCGCCCUUGACACAUAUGGCAUCUCAUUCAAUAAUCUACUGUUGCGAAGUCAGUUGUGAUCAUUCCGGUUUAGUUACGCACGACGAUACCGGCACCGGCGCUAUUUGGUCCUACAGUAUGUUGAAAAAUUAACCGUGCAGUGAUUUUUCUACUAACAUAUAUUCAUUCUACUUGUACACAAGUAGAAUUUUACGUAUAUUUUCAGUGAAGUUAAAAAGUGUUCAAAAAUUGAAUGUUGGAUAAAAAACGAAAGGGAAUAGAUAAAUUACACUAUAUGUAAACUAUAAGUAAACUUGUAGGAUGGAAUCUUACGAUGGAAACAACUAUAGCAAAUUUUUAAACAUAAGAAAAUAUUGGGUUCGUUGAUAAAAAAAAACACUGCACGAACAAUUUUCCGACACACCGUAUGUCUCCGAUCGCGUUAACGAUAUAACUUCUUCUGAUUUCGCACCAACAAACCGCAACGCACGAGUUCAAUUUCGAGCUCACGUGACUUUGAGUCAUUUCUUCCAAGUGGGCCCCAGCAGCAGAACCAAUUCCAACAAAUUGCGAUCCACAAUUUCACUAAAUCAGCACCGCCGCGCACUCAACACUCCAGGGCGCGCGGCACAGAAAACUAAAAAUCCAACCGUUGAUUUUGGAUUUCCUUAUCACGGCCGAAGGCAUUUACACACGUCUUCACUGAGCGCGCCUAGCAUCCUAGAAGAGGCGGCUUCCCGUAUCUUCUCAGUCAACAAAACAGAAACGGAUGACUUCACCGGCGACGACGAGCAGAGCAAAUAAGGCGCCUACCGAACACAACACAUAGGAAGUCAGUCCCUCAGCUCUAGCUCUAGCUCUGGAGUACCGCACAACGAGCAGUGUGUCGUCUUUUCCACGCGACGGUCGUAAACAUACUAGAUUUCGUCGAGCGAGCCGACCGACGACGACUCGGAGACUGGCACAACAGCCAGGCGUUGUAAUAGAGCGCGGCUACAGUAGCGCCCAAGUGAAACAACUCACCAUAAAAUUGAUAAAGCUUAUCUCUGCCAAAAUACUUUAUUUCGUUUCUUUUUAUGAUGCACCUGCCGCCUGAGAAGAUUGAACAGGUGAGCUCGUUUCAUGUCAUGUUGAAAAUUCUGCUCUUUCCAUUUUCGCCAUCAAAAUCGUCAUAAGUAUCUUCUCAGAUAGAAAGAUGGUGGAAUAUCUAAAAUACAGUGUACUCUGUGUAUCAUCGCCUUUGGCGUUUUCCAAUCUAUACCGAACUGGAUUUAUUGCUGCUGAUCUUUUUUUGUGCUGUGAUGGUAAAGAGUUUAAUCUUGCCUUUCGUAAGGGGCAUUUCUAUUUAGGAAACCUUCUAAACUCGGUGUAAAAAAGAAAUAGCUAAUUCGCGUGUCAUGCCUCGAGCAUGUGUACUUGUCAACAACGCAAUCAUUGCUACACUCAUCGCUGAACUGACCACUAGAGAUGUAUGUGCUAUUCCAAUCGAAGUAUCUAUUGGAAACCUCAACAGGAAAUACGUCUAAUGUUCGGUUUAUUUACCGCAUGAUGGACCAUCCCCUACGGAUGCUUUCAAAUAAGUCUUCGCAUACUGCACUUCAAAAGGCCUUAAGCUAAUUGUUGGCAGUGAUAAUGCUCAGCAUAUCAUCUGGGGCAGUUCAGACAUUAACUUGAGAGGCUCGAGUUGGAUGAGAUACUUAAGUAGCACAGAGCUUGGAUUACUUACCAUAGACAACCGCACAACCUUCAUGGUAUCUGCUAGAGAGGAAGUGUCAAACAUAACGCUUUGCUCUAGCAGAAUUAGUCAUGAGCUGACCAAUUGGCAUGUGUCAGAUGAAGAAUCUUUAUCUGACCAUCGCUACAUCUUGUUUGAACAUGUAAAUGUUACUUCGCAAACUUUGCGUUUCAGGAAUCCCCGGUCAACCAACUGGGAUCUCUUUACCGAUUUGGUUGCAGCCAAAUUUCAUGGAUACUCACCAUCAAUUGACACUCCAAGUGAUUUAGAUGAUGCCGUUGAUACUACAACGGCCUUCAUCAUGGAAGCUUUUGAAGAAGCCUGCCCACUGCGGUCUGCGAAAACCACAAGAGGAACCCCUUGGUGGAACUCCGAUCUGGCGAAGCUCAGAAAACAGUGCAGAAAGAGUUGGAACAGACGACGUUCGGCUGGAUCGGAGGCUUUCAGGUCGGCUCGCAGCUCUUCGGUUUGCUGAACGGGCUAGAAAAACCUUUGUACGAAAUGUUUCCAGUUUGAGUGAAGUCAGUCGGUUAAACAAAAUCCUUGCGAAAUCUAAGGAUUUCCGAGUGAACGAAUUUCGUUUGCCUAAUGGCGAUCUGCCUUUCUCUAAAGAGGAAGUUCUGGAAGGCUUAUUCAGGCCACACUCCCCUGGAUGUGUGGAUGUUACAUCUUCGGAUGAACCUGAUGUCUUUUCUUGUAGUUAUGAUUCUCUGGCCUCGGCUCGGAGUAUUGAGUGGGCACUUAAUAGCUUUGUUCGAAUCUCCUGGAGCAGAUGGGAUUUAUCCUAUUCUGAUUCAAAAGGGAUUUGAUUAUUUCAAACAUGUUUUGAAAAAUAUACUUGUUUGCAGUUUUGCUACAGGGUAUAUUCCCAAAUCUUGGCGGGAUAUUACUGUAAAGUUUAUUCCGAAAGUGGGUCGUGCGUCGUAUGAAGGAGCAAAGAGUUUCGGACCUAUCGGUUUUACCUCUUUUCUUCUGAAAUGCUUAGAACGCAUUGUCGAUCAUCACAUCCGUGAUGUUCAUCUGGCCAGCGUGCCUCUUCAUGUGAACCAACAUGCCUACCUAUCUGGUAAGUCCACUGUGGCUCUUUUACACAAGGUUGUUUACGAUAUCGAGAAAGCAUUCGCUCAAAAGCAAUCCUGUUUGGGUGUUUUCUUAGAUAUCGAGGGUGCCUUUGACAACGUGCCUUUCGAUGCCAUAUUGGAAGCCGCACGGGGUCAUGGUAUAUCUCCAAUGAUUUCCAAUUGGAUUCACCAAAUGCUCAAUAAAAACCGGCAUCUCUUCUCGACAUUGCGUCAAGCAGCGAUUAGGAAAUUUAGUGUUUCUGGAUGCUCUUAAGGGGGAGUCUUAUCACCACUUUUGUGGAAUCUUGUAGCAGAUACGCUAUUGAGGCAAUUCAAUAAUAGCGGUUUUCCUACCUAUGGUUUUGCCGACGACUACCUAACAUUGUUAGUCGGUAUGUGCAUCAGCACACUUUUCGACCUAAUGCAAAACGCUCUUCGGGUAGUUGAGGGUUGGUGUCACCAAUAUGGCCUUUCGGUUAAUCCGAGUAAAACAUCUAUUGUUCUUUUUUACGGAAAGGCGAAACCGAGAUGGCGUUCGACCUUUGCGUCUUUUUGAUUCUGAAAUCGAUGUGACUGAACAAGUAAAGUACGUUGGAGUCAUUCUUGAUUCUAAGCUUUCCGGGACACCUCACAUUGAGUUCAGAAUCAAGAAAGCUUGUAUGGCCUUCGGCGAACCUUUGGUACAACUUGGGGUCUAAAACCCAAGUAUAUCAACUGUUGUUUGACCAAUAUUGGCUUAUGGAUGUCUUGUGUGGUGGCAAAAGAGUAAAAUGAGAACGGUCCAAUCAAAGUUAGGCCAUUUCCAAAGGAUGUGCCUAAUGGCGAUGUCUGGAGCGUUCUCUUCAGCUCCCACGGCAGCACUCGAAGCUCUCUUUGACGUUGCUCCACUACACAUUCAUCUCAAACAAAAAGCACUUUCUUGCACUUACCGUCUACGGGUACUCGGUCUACUAGAGGAAACUUCUAUGAACCGCACAUCAACACACACCUCGUUGUUCCCACUUUUGGCGAAUUGGGACAAAAUUGUCCUUACUCCAAGUGAUCUUACAAUUGCUUAUAAUUUUCCAUAUAGGACAUUUUCCACGAAAUUCCCUUCCCGGGAAGAGUGGACAUCUGGAUAUCUGGAAAGAAGUAUUUCAGACGGCAUCGUAUGUUACACUGAUGGCUCCCUUCUCGAAGGUCGAGCAGGUACUGGUGUUUAUUCUCGUGAGCUAAGGCUGUAUCAGUCUUACUCACUUGGUAGACACUGCACCGUUUUUCAGGCCGAAAUUUUUGCUCUUAUGUGCGGAGUACAAUCAGCACCUUAGCAGUAAGUAAUGGGCAAAGUGAUAUACUUGCCUAAAACUUCUAAACACAAUUAUUUCGUUGGUAUGGGAAUGUUGUGACUAUUAUAAUCGAUUUAAUUUGAGUCUAUGUCAUUUGCACUGUUAUAACGGGUUAAAACCAAAUAUAUUUAUUGCCGUAUAUGCCGGUGAAGAGAAAGAUUCAGAGAGCCGCCAUGCUGCUAAACCGUCGAUUCUCACUCUUAAAAAUAAAUGUGAUUGCUCAUGGUCCCACUUGCUUCUGAAGCAUAUGUCGGCCAACCAAGGCAUACAGCUACCGCUCUGUGUUGAAAAGCGCCGCCGGUCAAAGAGUAGUAAAUUUUGCUUCAUUUGGGGGAAAACGCUUCAUUUUUCAAGUACUGCAUGAUCCAAUCUUCCCACAAAUGAUUGAAUGGAGAAUGGAGGAGAGUUACGCGAUUGUGUUGGUUCAAUGUGAAAAAUGUAACCACUGGUUACAUCCAGUGUUGCGAAACUCAUGCUCAUGAGUAAAAAAAUACUCACUCACCUUACUCUUUUGUGAGUAAUGCUCACGCUGUGAGUUACUCACGUACACGGAGAAAUCAAACUACCUAAUUUUUGGGUCGAUUUUACUCAAAGCUGAGUAUAUCGAAUAAACUAGUUACCCAAAAUUAGGUUGUUUUCCCUCUUUCCCUCACCGAUGUUGUCAAAAACAAACAGAGAUGCAUCUACCCAACGGGGGUCCUUGAGCCCAAUAAGCCAAUUUUGGGUAAAUGCAGGUUUACUCAAAUUUGGGUUGAAUGAGGGUGGGUCUUGGGUUGAAUUUACUUACUCUUAAGUAAAUGUUUUUGCUGGAGGUGAAGGCAAUUUACCUAGUGUGAGUUUAAUCGAUUUACUCAAAUUUGGCUUAUUGGGCCGAACUAUGGGAUUGCGUCAAAAGAACUCAAUUUUGGGUAGUUUGGCGGUUCCGUGUAUGAGUAUACUCAUUUGUGAGUAUGAUCUCGUUACUCACUUGCGAGUAUUACUCACUUGUGAGUAAUACUCACACGAGAGUAUGACGUCAUUACUCACGCGUGAGUUACUCAUUUUACUCACGGUGAGUUUAGUGAGUAAGUUAUGUUUGUUGGUUUGAAGUAAAGUUUUCGUUUGUUCUACACUGCAAUAGUGAUUAUUUAUAUACUAGGCAAAGUUUUCGAGGAAAGGUGGGUCUGUUCGAGAGCUUUGGCACCAUAGGCUAAAAAUUCUUAUUGUUUACCUACGCAUGCAAAGGAAUAACAUCAAUAAGGAAAUCUCUAUGUUUCGCUUCUCUUUGUUAAGGGUAUAACUUUUUUUCGCAUACGUCGGUCCUUUUGCGGUCUCCAACAAAGUAGGAUCGUUCAAUUACAGCGUCUCUUAGCUUCAAACGUUUAAAACUUUUCUUUUCUGCAUACGUUUGGUCGCGAUGAGGGGACAGCCAAAAUGGUAAACACAGUGUAAAUACUACUUAACAAAGUUUCAUGACGCCAAGCAGUCAGUAGUGUGCGGUAGUUUGGCAGCAGCAAAGCUUCGCGCGCUGGCUUUGCUAGAUUUUUGCGAUUUUUUUUUUCUUCUCUCGGCGGGGCUCCGACGACGGGACGAAGUGUGCGGUGGACGCGUCGUGGCUCGAGUCGGUUCCGAAUUUUUCGCUUCCCGUCGGCGCUAGUUCCCAAUACACUUUUAGUGGAUAAUGAUUUUUUUUUUGCAUUAACACAAAAGAGUGAAAAAUGUUAGUUCGGGCUCG